Molecule: ribosomal RNA, 253 nt
Filed under: Escherichia coli
Lineage: Bacteria; Pseudomonadati; Pseudomonadota; Gammaproteobacteria; Enterobacterales; Enterobacteriaceae
Description: partial 16S ribosomal RNA
Rfam family: Bacterial small subunit ribosomal RNA
Source: RNAcentral
AAAUUGAAGAGUUUGAUCAUGGCUCAGAUUGAACGCUGGCGGCAGGCCUAACACAUGCAAGUCGAACGGUAACAGAAAGCAGCUUGCUGCUUUGCUGACGAGUGGCGGACGGGUGAGUAAUGUCUGGGAAACUGCCCGAUGGAGGGGGAUAACUACUGGAAACGGUAGCUAAUACCGCAUAACGUCGCAAGACCAAAGAGGGGGACCUUAGGGCCUUUUGCCAUCGGAUGUGCCCAGAUGGGAUUAGCUAGUA